RNAcentral lists this long non-coding RNA (695 nucleotides) under Nicotiana benthamiana. Its description in RNAcentral is "long non-coding RNA (NBEN_LNC010389)". The record is from RNAcentral. Lineage: Eukaryota; Viridiplantae; Streptophyta; Magnoliopsida; Solanales; Solanaceae.
GCAGCGUUGGUGAAUAAGUCAUCUUCUUUCUUGAAAGAUGAGUACUUGAUUCCAGGGUCAUGGUGGGUUGAGAAGAAUAGGAGUAUGGUUCUUGAUGAGAAUGGGGAGUGGAUUUUGGCACCACCUUCAGAUGAGGAUCUUCCAGUCCCUGAAUAUUGAAUUGCUUUCAGAAAUAUUUAGAAAUGAGUAGUUUGUUCAGUUUGCAGUUUUCUCAGGAGUAUGGUUCUUGAUGAAGAUGGGGAGUGGAUUUUGGCACCACCUUCAGAUGAGGAUCUUCCAGUCCCCGAGUAUUGAAUUGCUUUCAGAAAUUUUUGGAAAUGAUUAGUUUGUUCAGUUUGCAAUUUCCUAAUUGAUAUUGUUAAUCUUGCUUUGGACUUGUAAAUGCAAAAGCGUCCAAUGCCUAUCUUGCAAACAAUGUGUAUAUUAUCACCGACGCUCUAUUGUACUAAUGUCAGGUGAGGUAGGGUGGAUCCACUCCUUCGGCACCAGGUUCAUACAAAUCCAGUAUUUUCGACCUAAAUUAUAAAUUUUUAUAGAAAACUCUGGAAAAUCUCACCAAAAAAUAGAUUUGAACUCAUAAUUUGAAAAGUACAAUGAAAGAAACUAAAAGGUCGAACCCAUCAAAUUAAGAUCCUAGAUCCUUCUCUUAGUGCAUCACUCAACUUGACUUCUGCAAAUCUAAGAAGUUACAGGGA